UAACUGGAGGGCUUUUUCCUGUCCUUGC
RNAcentral lists this small RNA (28 nucleotides) under Bombyx mori (domestic silkworm). RNAcentral's name for it is "ovarian small RNA-19024". The record is from RNAcentral. Lineage: Eukaryota; Metazoa; Arthropoda; Insecta; Lepidoptera; Bombycidae.